RNAcentral lists this ribosomal RNA (440 nucleotides) under uncultured bacterium. Its description in RNAcentral is "bacterial SSU rRNA". It matches the Rfam family "Bacterial small subunit ribosomal RNA", at positions 338 to 794 of the family's 1533-position model. The record is from RNAcentral.
CCUACGGGUGGCAGCAGUAGGGAAUUUUCCACAAUGGGGGCAACCCUGAUGGAGCAACGCCGCGUGCAGGAUGAAUGCCUUCGGGUUGUAAACUGCUUUUAUUAGUGACGAUUAUGACGGUAACUAAUGAAUAAGGACCUGCUAACUACGUGCCAGCAGCCGCGGUCAUACGUAGGGUCCAAGCGUUAUCCGGAAUUACUGGGCGUAAAGAGUUGCGUAGGUGGCAGAGUAAGUAGAUAGUGAAAGCGUGUGGCUCAACCAUACAUCCAUUAUCUAAACUGCUCAGCUAGAGGACGAGAGAGGUAGAUGGAAUUCCUAAUGUAGGGGUAAUAUCCGUAGAUAUUAGGAGGAACACCGAUGGCGUAAGCAGUCUACUGGCUCGUUCCUGACACUAAGGCACGAAAGCGUGGGGAGCGAACGGGAUUAGAUACCCCGGUAGU